RNAcentral lists this ribosomal RNA (468 nucleotides) under uncultured bacterium. Its description in RNAcentral is "partial 16S ribosomal RNA". It matches the Rfam family "Bacterial small subunit ribosomal RNA", at positions 28 to 507 of the family's 1533-position model. The record is from RNAcentral.
GACGAACGCUGGCGGCGUGCUUAACACAUGCAAGUCGAACGGAAAGGCCCUGCUUUUGUGUGGUGCUCGGGUGGCGAACGGGGGAGUAACACGUGAGUAACCUGCCCUUGACUUUGGGAUAACUUCAGGAAACUGGGGCUAAUACCGGAUAGGAGCUCCUGCUGCAUGGGGGGGGGUGGAAAGUUUCGGCGGUUGGGGAUGGACUCGCGGCUUAUCAGCUUGUUGGUGGGGUAGUGGCUUACCAAGGCUUUGACGGGUAGCCGGCCUGAGAGGGUGACCGGCCACAUUGGGACUGAGAUACGGCCCAGACUCCUACGGGAGGCAGCAGUGGGGAAUAUUGCACAAUGGGCGGAAGCCUGAUGCAGCAACGCCGCGUGCGGGAUGACGGCCUUCGGGUUGUAAACCGCUUUCGCCUGUGACGAAGCGUGAGUGACGGUAAUGGGUAAAGAAGCACCGGCUAACUACGUG